This 280-nucleotide long non-coding RNA is filed under the name Setaria viridis. Its description in RNAcentral is "long non-coding RNA (SVIR_LNC008316)". Lineage: Eukaryota; Viridiplantae; Streptophyta; Magnoliopsida; Poales; Poaceae. The record is from RNAcentral.
GGAGAAAAUAUCAUGUCAGUGGGGGUAGUUGUUUUGUGUGGACGUAGGAAAGAAGUAAGUGGUGGAUUUUAAGGGGUAGUAGAUUGUCUCGUCUUUUUUAGAGUUUUCAUAUUAUACCAUUGUUAGUGGGAGGUUUUAAGGACGAUUUUCGAUCCAGAUCAUCUAAACCUUUUUUCAUUGAUGAAUAAAAGCUACCCUGCACAAUUUUCAUGUCAUGCUUUUAUAGGCAACCCAUAGACUUUAAUGCGAUGCACCGGGUUGGAGUCAGAUGAAAUUAAAC